This is a long non-coding RNA of Brassica napus (rape), 1051 nucleotides long. RefSeq lists it as uncharacterized. The record is from RefSeq and is a predicted model, not a curated record. NCBI's taxonomy places the organism in Eukaryota, Viridiplantae, Streptophyta, Magnoliopsida, Brassicales, Brassicaceae. The transcript has 3 exons.
AAAAUAUAUAUUAAUAACUAUUAGUUAAAUGAUUAUGCCCGCAAAACACCUAGUAUAAUUAUAAAGAAUGAAUGAUUUACAACAUCAAAUCCAAACGGAAUAUGAUUGAUUGAAUUUGUUAAAUUUGUGAUUGAAUAAGACUCGUUUUGCUAUUAUUUGAAAGAGAACCAACCGUCUCCUAUUAUUUUUAUGGUCACGUGAGAAGGAUUCGGUUAGCGCUUUUGGUCCGUCCCUGCAUCAGAUCUUACGACGGCAUUGAUGGUUGAAGAAGGAGAAUGAGAUCUCACCAAGGUGGCCGUGAACUGACGGUUCUUCAACUUCUAUGCGCCGUCGCAGAUUUCUCCGUCCUCCUCUUCACCAUCCAAUCUUCCUUCUUGGCAACAGGUCAUCGUCCUUCUCUCCAUCGAUAACAACACCUUCCUCUCUUUUUUGUUUUCGAAUUCUUCAUCACGCAGCGCAGAUGAUAAAUAGCAAUCGCAAGCAUCCGGAAGAUAUUAAGAUCUUGUCAGAGUUUCACUUAUAUCUUUGAUUGAUUAGUUAGCUCAUUAUCACUUAUAUCUUUAGUCUCAAGUUUCGUUACAGAUUCUUCGUCAUUUGGAUUUUAGAUCGAUUACACGCUUUCGGUAUCUUAUGCUCGUUCAUAGCUAAUCUAUUGUAAUGUACGAUUACACUUCUUAAUCGUACAUUGUGUGAGGAACAUCUUAAUGUGAUCCUUCCAGCAAAGCCUCCUUUCCACCCACGGCAGUUUCAUAAAUGCACUGUCGUUGGAAACUCUGGAGAUUUGUUAAAAACAGAGUUCGGAGAAGAGAUUGACAGUCACGAUGCUGUGUUCCGAGAUAAUGAAGCUCCUGUCAAUAAGACAAUGAGGUGCUUAUAAUCAAAAGUGUGACCCACCGAGACUUCGACAAAAUGAUAAAGACUAUACCAAACCCUGUUUAUCUUUCUUUUCCAAGGAAUUGUCCUGCGCAGAGGUGCCAAAGGAACCGGGAUGAAUUAUCCAUGUGCGAUAUUGUUGACAUAUAUGGUUUCACGGUCGAUCCUGGAUACACCG